Molecule: long non-coding RNA, 4608 nt
Organism: Dermacentor andersoni
Lineage: Eukaryota; Metazoa; Arthropoda; Arachnida; Ixodida; Ixodidae
Source: RefSeq, a predicted model, not a curated record
AAUGAACUAGGUCACUGCGAAGAUCCUAACAAUAUUCAAGAGCGGAAGUCAUACUACCUUUUUAACUACCGCCCAUUUCACUAACUAGCAAAGCCUGCAAGCUUCUGGAGCUUAUCUUAUAUUCACACAUAGCACAACACCUCGAUGAUAACUCAUUUUUUUCACCUAAACAACAUGGUUUUCGUCCUGGGUUAUCCUGUGAAAUAGCUUUUUGAAUUAAUACUGACCUUCAUCUCAACUUAGAUUCUUCGUUUCAGAUUGACAUCAUAUACAUCGAUUUCACGAAAGCGUUUGAUCGCGUCGCUCACAAACGAACUAUCACUAAACUCGUGGUACUCCGCCUCGACCAAUUAUUCUUCUAAUGGAUAAACUCCUUCUUAACAGACCAAGUGCAGUUUACUGAUAGGAGUUCAGCAUCCUUCAGCAACAAAAGUAACAUCUGGUGUCCCCCAAGGCUCGGUUCUUGACCCGCUACUUUUCUUAAUAUUUAUCAACGACAUACCUAACGGAAUUUCAUCUACUAUCCGUCUAUUUUCAUAUGAAUUCGUACUUUACCGCCGGAUCAAUAACCACAAAGAUCACUGCAUCAGCAGAAUGACUUAAACCAAAUUUAAAACUGGUGCUCAAAGCAGAUGAUGAAAUGUAAACAUAUGCGCGUGUUUCAGGAACGGUUUCCCUCCAUUUAUACAUACUCGUUGCACUGGACACUGGUAUUGGAAGUACAGGAAUACCUGUACCUUGGCGACUUAAUUGCUACAAAACUAGCCUGGGCAGAACGCAUAAUAAAUGUUGCCAGCAGACGCAUCGAGGUCCCUGGGAUUCAUCAGAAGGAAUCUAUCUUUGUCACCACCCUAGGUUAGGCAGAAUACCUGGGUCCGAACAGGCCGCCAUUGUAAUCUGAACCUAGCAACAUUUAACGGUAGGACGUUAUCUAGUGAAGCGAGUCUAGCAGUGCUACUGGAGGAAUUAGAGGGCAGUAAAUGGGAUAUAAUCAGCUCAGUGAGGUUAGGAGGACAAAUGAAGCAUACACAGUGCUAAAAAGCGGGCACGUCCUGUGCUACCGGGGCUUAGCGGAGAGACGAGAACUAGGAGUCUGAUUCUGGAUUAAUAAGGAUAUAGCUGGUAAUAUAAAGGAAUUCUAUAGCUUUAACGAGAGGGUGGCAGGUCUUGUGAAACUUAAUAAGAGGUACAAAUUGAAGGUCAUACAGGUCUACGCUCCUACAUCCAGUCAUGAUGACCAGGAAGUCGAAAGCUUCUAUGAAGACGUGGAGUCAGCGAUGGGUAAAGUCAAAACAAAAUACACUAUACUGAUGGGCGACUUCAAUGCCAGGGUAGGCAAGAAGCAGGCUGGAGACAAGGCAGUGGGAGAAUAUGGCAUAAGCUCUAGGAAUAGCAGGGAAGAGUUAUUAGUAGCGUUUGCAGAACAGAAUAAUAUGCGGAUAAUGAAUACCUUCUUCGGCGAGCGGGAUAGCCUAAAGUGGACGUGGAGGAGCCCGAAUGGUGAGACUAGAAAUAAAAUAGGCUUUAUACUCUGCGCUAACCCUGGCAUCAUACAAUAUGUGGACGUGCUCGGCAAGGUGCGCUGCAGUGACCAUAAGAUGGUAAGAACUCGAAUUAGCCUAGACUUGAGGAAGGAAUGGAAGAAACUGGUACAUAAGAAGCCGAUCAAUGAGUUAGCGGUAAGAAGGAAAAUAGAGGAAUUCCGGAUCAAGCUACAGAGCAGGUAUUUGGCUUUAACUCAGGAAGAGGAUGUUAGUGUUAAAGAAAUGAACGGCAAUCUUAUGGGCAUCAUAUGGGCAUUAUGGCCGUGGGUCGGACAGCUGCCGGAAGCCGUUGUGACCCUGCCGCCCUACGCGCCACUUUGGCAUAGCUGUUCUUUGACAGGUACGAGACCCGCCUCCGUGCUUCCUUGAAUGAGAGGUUCUCUCUUGCCUUAAUUGCUAAGAUUUCUUUCUCUAUUUGCCAGUGUCGGCAGGACCGCGAGUGUGCGCCAUGCUACCCGUCACAGUUUAUGCAGUGUAGAGCCUUUCCGCAGGGUUCAUAUGGAUGUUCGUGUCACUGCAUUUAGCACAGGUCAGUCGGCCUCAGCAGUUCUGGGAACUGUGGCCGAGUCUUUGGCAUUUGAAGAAACGGGGACGGUUGGGGAUGUAUGGCCUUACACGCAUUUUAACUUAGCCUGCCUCCGUGGUUUCUUGCAGCUCACUGGAACCGAAUGUGAGAUUUACGUGCUCAAUGUCAACUUCUUUUCCAUCACGCCUUAUUUUGAUUUGUUUUAUGUUGAUAACAUUUUAUUUUUCCAUUCCAGAAGUUCAGUCUCUGUCAGCUCCAUCGAAUCAUCAUCGGAAAUCACAUCGCGGAUGGUGUUCAUGGUGCAAUGUGGGGUCACUGAAGCUGUGGAGAUCACGCCUGCCGACGCAGCUGCGAAGGCGCUCUCUAUCAGCAGCCGUCCCCGAUCAGUGGCGCCGCAGCGGGCGCACGGAGAACUAGGCCCGAGACGCCGUUCAGGUGCGAAGCAGCGGGCCGCACCCUGUGCUUUUGCAUCAAGCGGCUGUGUCCAGGCACUGGAGGACCGUAUUUUCAUCCCUACUGAACAUCAUGUUUGCAGAUAUGUUCCUCAACUUAUGGCUUGAGCAGUGGCACAACCAGAGAUGGUGCGAAGGGCACACUGGGCAAGUGCUUAGGAUGCGUGUUUAAGAAGUCAUUAUCGUUUAUGUGCAUGCUCACGAAACCAGUUCAUUAGAACCGCUCGUGCCUCACGAAGUGAAAGCAAGGAGCAAUUAGGGCCUUUAACUGUGUACACCGCAGUGCAAACCUUACGUCUUAGAAGCUGGAGAGUCACUUGGAAUUGAAAAUUAUCUUAGAAAUGUAAAAUUGUGGUUUCUCCGAACUAGUUGCCAACCAAGUAUGCUAGUGGGGGUAGAGAUGCAUUCAAUGCAAAGAAUUGAGAGCAUCUGAGCAGAAGACUUUGUCAUCAAUUGGCGGAUGUGAACAUAUAGUGUUAAGCAAAAGCACCUUAGUUUCAUGUCUUCUGUAGACAUUCUCCUGGACUUAAGAUGUAUUAACCUUCCUAGACACAUAUGUACUUGUUUUGAGUCGAAGAUUCUGUGAAGUGCAAUAAUUUUUCUUACUUUAGCGCAUCUUAACCACAUCAGUAGGAAAAAAGCUUUGGUUUCAGGUAGUUGGUUCAUUGUGCAAGUAUAUGCAUUGUCCCAUGCAAAAUCCACGUGAAUGGAAGGGAUAUGUGAAACAGGAUGGUGCCAUUCUCAAUUUAUGUUUUGUUUCUUUGGUUAUCUUUUUCCUGCACUUCCCUGCCUGUACUUAUGUCGCCUUUGAUGCAUCAUAUUCAUAAUAUCUAAUUUUUGGUUCACAUCUGAAGCCAUGCUAUACUUUAGUUAGAUUGCAUAUUCAAAGAGUCACAAUAAUUGAUCAUGUAAUUUUGAAAGCUGCUCCUCAGAAGUAUAGCAUUCUUACCCUAAUGGGAAUGAAAAGCUACCAUAUAUGACAGGAAAUUUGAUGCGGAAGAUUUUAAUGCCAAUGCUCCUUGCAGUUUUAUACUCAUUUGCUACACACUGGAUAAUAUUGUAAAUUUAAUUUUAGUUAUUUGUGAGAAAGUGUAACGGAUGAAUCCCAACAGAACCAGAAAACUACUUUCGUGAGGAGGCCAACAGAAUAAGAAAUAUAAUAUGCCUCUGUACCGGUUUGAGACCGGGCACGAUAUUGCUGCAGAACCACGACAAGACACACUUAGAAACAAUGAGGUGCAGCCCAUACAUGAAUAACAUUAUGUUAAAUAUAAGCAAAGCUAGCUAGAUCAGCAGUCUUCCAUGAGAAUAUACAACACAUUUCUAAAUGCACUGUACUCUCGGUCAGGAACAGCCAUACACUGUACAGGACGUUAUCAAAUGAGCUGCUGUCUUAGAAUAUGGCACACAAAAAAAGUUUCCUGCACAAUUUAUCUACAUUACCAGCCCCAAUUAAUUAAUUAAUUAAUUAUGGGGUUUUACGUGCCAAAACCACUUUCUGAUCAUGAGGCACGCCGUAGUGGAGGACUCCGGAAAUUUGGACCACCUGGGGUUCUUUAACGUGCACCUAAAUCUAAGUACACGGGUGUUUUCGCAUUUCGCCCCCAUCGAAAUGCGGCCGCCGUGGCCGGGAUUCGAUCCCGCGACCUCGUGCUCAGCAGCCCAACACCAUAGCCACUGAGCAACCACGGCGGGUAUUACCAGCCCCAUGCUAAGCAGUUCAAAUGGUAACCUCUGCCACAUAAGUGCAUGCGUUUUGUGCCAGAAAUGCAUUUGCUGGCUAGUAAUUUGGCGCAUUUUUCUCAUCGAUCAUAGUGUCAGUACUUUGUGAGUUUGCACACGUUUGUUUUAUGUUUAACGUUCCAUUGUAUACUUUAUUUUUGAAAAGAAGGAGCCAAUUGAAAUUAAAGGAUCUUUCUACACCGUAAUACUGAUGAAACCUUAAAAAAUAUACUCAUGUUUUAUUACAAGAUGUGUUCUGAAGUCAUGGGCAUCAUUCCAAUUUGAUUUCAUGUGUUUGUCAGUGUGUUUCUCAAAUUAUUCAGUUUGUCUUGUGACUGAUCAAUAAAGAUUUUGACCUUUUAAG